This is a long non-coding RNA of Varanus komodoensis (Komodo dragon), 3396 nucleotides long. RefSeq lists it as uncharacterized. Lineage: Eukaryota; Metazoa; Chordata; Lepidosauria; Squamata; Varanidae. The record is from RefSeq and is a predicted model, not a curated record. The transcript has 2 exons.
GAUGCCCACAUUGCAGACCUGGGGCAGGCCUGCCUGAUGGCGCAGCCCGGAAAAGCCCUCCUGCGGGGACAACGGAAGCCAGCUGAGGCCUGCUGAUAAGCUGCUGCACUGCUCAGGGAGCUGUGCCAGUGCUCACCAGGAGGGCUGUGGCCGCCCCUGCCCACCCUGGGGACAAGAGGGAAGGGACCGAGGCCGCUCCUGCCCAAGCCCAAGGGCCUGGCAGCCUCGCCUGAGGACAAGAGGAGCCCUCGGAAGUGCUCCUGUGACUGCUUGGGGGGCCGGCACAAAGGGAGGUCAUUUUCCCCAGGCUCUGUCCAGGAGCCCCUGCGACAGGGCCUGCUGCAUGGGGGACCCCGGAAGCCCUGCCCCGGAGGGAGCAGCCCCGUUGGCCCAUGGCAGGCCCCUGCUCCCCAGCACGACGCACGCAGCACAUGCAAGAUGAGAGGAACGCCUUUCCAGGCCCUACAAGAAGGGCGGGAGCCUGGGAAGAAGGCAUGGCUGGCUGCAGGCAGAUGGCCAGGGCCCUGCCCUCCGGGAGGAUGCUGCCAGCAAGCACCCUGGAACUCUGCACCCCCACUGGAUUCCCUCUGAGCUGUUCCCCGCCAGGAGUACCCCACAGCCCUCACUUCGACCGAAAGGGCAGGAUGGGCCCUAUUACCUUCUUCAAGGCGGGCUGGUCCAGGUCGUAGAACGGCAUUUCAUCCUGGCUGCAACCAGCAAGCAAGACAGCAAGUCAACAGGGUGAAGCAGCCCCUGCAGCGUUAGAGCGACCAUCAUUGUCCCCGUCACACAUUUAUCAAGCUACGCCUGCUGUCAGCUCUUUCAUGCACCAGAGGAUGAGCCUGUGGCUUAGCCCGGCACGCAUCACAGAAGCUUCUCCUGAUGUCCAGCCAGAUUCCGGCUUCCUGGAACUGGAGCCCCCUCUUCUGUGCCCUGCACUCUGGGAGGAUCAAGAAGGGAUCCUGGCAGCCUUUCAAGUACUCAGGAAGUGCCCUCCUGUCUCCUCCAGGCCAAACAGGCUCAGUUCUCUCCACCGCUCCUCGCAGGGCACUGCCUCCCAUUCCUGGAUCAUCCUUGUUGCCCUUCUCUGAACAUCCUCCUGCCUCUUUCUUAAACUGUGGCAUCCAGAACUAGACCCAGGACACACGACGGGGCCAAACUGGGGCUGAGUGGAAGGGUGCGCUCCGAUUACCUGCAGAGAUCCAUCAUCACAUCCCCGCACUCAGGAACUCUGGCCAUGGGUGGUCCUCGGGUGGAAGAAGCAGAAAGCACAAGUGAGAGGGAUCCUGCAGAGAAGGAGAGAGCUGGUAACCAAAUAAGGUCCCGGUUAAAACAGGGCCGACCCAGUUCCAUGCGGCAUGCUCCACUCAGCACUGCCGCUCCCAGAGAACAGGCGAUGCAGCUGUCGCGGCCCUGCAAAGCCCACAGCACGGCAAUCAACACACGUGCGCGUUGUGACAGACCCUCAGAAGACUUGCACUGAAAAGCUGCUGUGCAGCGUUCCUUGCGAUUACAAAGAAACGGCAGAAAGCCAGCCAGCCAGCCAGCCACCCCCUCAGCCAGGCCCCCAAGAGCAUUUGGAGGCAGCUCAAACGGGAGCCACAGAGUAAGUGCCCAGCCAGGCGCCUGUCGUCUUAAUUCCUACAGAACUCCUGAUCUAAGUCCCAUAAAUGAGUCACCUCUUCACUCUGCCAGCAAUGCCUGCUCUUUCCCACCUCCCACCUGCCAAGCCGUGGCCGACUGUACCUGAAUGCUGCUCUUCAGAGGGUUUCUCCGCUCCGAGAUUCUCCUGCAAGUUGGCCUCGGCUGCAGAGCGUGCGGCACUUUUAUGUGGCUGCCCAGGAACUUCCUCAAACUUCCUCUGCGUGUUUCAAAGGUAGGUUGGGCAAGUGGCACUGCUGCAAUUUGGGAAACCAGCCGCAGAGAGAGAGAGAGGAAAUGGAAUGGGGCUGCCCCCCCACCCUUCCCACACUGCACAGGGACAAGCGGCCGGGGGUCAGGAGUCCUGACCCAGGGCCCUCCCAUAAAGGUGGCUGCAGGAAGGUACUAGCCCAGAUGGCGGCACUUCCUGUUCCAAUAACCGAUAAUAACCAAUCAUUUUAAUAGCUGAUUUUAAUCAUUGUUUUUAGAUACUUAAAUUUCAAGGUAUUUUUGUAUUUGGUUGUCCAUCUCACCUGGACGUGUUUCUUGAAACUGAUCUGGCCUAUGUUAAUAUGCUAGCAUUAUCAAUCGGCUAUUGUUAAUGAAAGUGUGAUUGCUUGGUUGCAUGUUAUUGCUGUAGGCCACCUAGAGAGUUCAUUCGAUCUGUUUGACGGCCUAUAAAUGUAAAAGCAAGCAAGUGAAUAACAUAAACUGUGAUCACCACAAGUUAAGACAGUAACAAAGGUUGCCGCCUACUAAGGGCUUGCUUCGCACCAACCACCCCCUUGUCCGAGAUCUGCCUCCCCACACAGCUCCCGCCUGCUCCUCCACCGCUGGCUGCAUUCUGCUCCCUUGCUACGGGUUCCCAUCAUUUUUUGCAGAAUUUAGUCUCGGAGCCAAAGGAGCACAUGCUACUUUGUUAAUCCUCCAGUGUAUUUAAAUACUAUGCUGUUGGGAUCUGCUUUAUUUGGGGAACACUUGCUCUACCCGCAGCCCCCAAAGAGAGCAAGCACCUGGCGAACUUCGUUUUCCAACUGAGCUGGGUGAGAAGGGCAGCCCUGCGACACCAUGCAAGGGUUUCAUGCCGCUCCUGCUGGAAUGAUGUGCAGCGUUUCUGACGUCACCCAGCACACUCACCUUGGAGCAUGGCCACAUUUCUCAUCAGGGCCGGAACUCCCCGCCAGAUUUGCCCAUGUGAGUGGCAAAGAGGCACAGGAUUAAUCUCAUUCUGGGCAGGAAGUGGGUGAUGUCAGUGCUGGAAAUUCUCUUGCACCCACAGCAAGGUGACAGUUGUUUGAGGAAAUUGCACACACACGACUCCCGCAUCUACAUUGGUGACGCCCAACUUCCCCCUUCUUUCGGGGAGUUUUGACCCUCUGCAGGAAGCAGCUCUUCGAAAUCAGAGCAUCACGUUGUCAGCUGAACUAUGCGGCAGAGACAGUUCUCACCCCCGUGAAUCACCGCUGGAGCAUCUUCCAUAUCAGAGCACAAGCCCCCAGUGGAUUUCUACAACUGAGUGACUAUUCAACCCGCAGCAAGUGUGUCGUUUUCAAAAGGGAUGGCUCCAGAGAGGGGUUGCAUGGCCCUCUCACUUUUUAGAAUUAUUUUUGUGAUUCACUGGGGUGGGUUGGGGUCAAUAUUUAUUUAUUUGGAACAUUUAUAUGCCCCCCCAUUCGCAAAAAGCCUUGGGCUUUUGUGCCCAAUGAGAAAUAAAGCAUUCUGUUUGGAAUGAUUUCCAUAUAGAAAUACAAUACA